This 217-nucleotide long non-coding RNA is filed under the name Mus musculus (house mouse). RNAcentral's name for it is "long non-coding RNA chr14:52851649-52851866". The record is from RNAcentral. Lineage: Eukaryota; Metazoa; Chordata; Mammalia; Rodentia; Muridae.
GCAGAGCUGCAGUGUAACUUUUCCACAUCUUUGAACAGUAUGCAGUGGUUUUACCAACGUCCUGGGGGAAGUCUCGUCAGCGUGUUCUACAAUCCUUCUGGGACAAAGCAGAGUGGGAGACUGACAUCCACAACAGUCAUUAAAGAACGCCGCAGCUCUUUGCACAUUUCCUCCUCCCAGAUCACAGACUCAGGCACUUAUCUCUGUGCUAUGGAAC